AGCCGUUGCUGCUGCACCGAUUCUAAAAGUCCUGUAAAUAUAGAAGGGUUGAAACCAAGUCUUAUGAAGAGUCCUAAUGUACAAUAUAACUUGUUAUUUUGCUAAAUAUUUUUAGUUUCAAGUUUUCUUUUUCAUGGCGGUAUCAACAUUUAACAGAAGGGAAAAUAAAGCUUCCAAAUUGUGAUCGUUGUAGCUGGUCUCGCAGGACCCAAAACCUGUGUAUAUGGCAAGUGACUGUGGGACUUGCAGGUCCCCACUGAAAAGUGCAUUACGAUUGGUUAUCUUGAACUAGUGCACAAAGGAUCCGCAGGUCUCUUUUAUCUCUUGGAUUCAUG
Non-coding RNA from Pelobates cultripes (western spadefoot toad), 335 nucleotides. Lineage: Eukaryota; Metazoa; Chordata; Amphibia; Anura; Pelobatidae. The record is from the annotation of a GenBank genome assembly.